This 69-nucleotide transfer RNA is filed under the name Camelus bactrianus (Bactrian camel). It matches the Rfam family "tRNA". Rfam says of the family: Transfer RNA (tRNA) molecules are approximately 80 nucleotides in length. Lineage: Eukaryota; Metazoa; Chordata; Mammalia; Artiodactyla; Camelidae. RNAcentral also lists the same sequence under 2 other names. The record is from Rfam by way of RNAcentral.
GGGUAUAGCUCAGUGGUAGAGCACAUUCUUAGAAGCACGAGAUCCUGGGUUCAAUCCUCAGUACCUCCA